CUACGUGCCAGCAGCCGCGGUAAUACGGAGGGUGCGAGCGUUAAUCGGAAUAACUGGGCGUAAAGGGCACGCAGGCGGUGACUUAAGUGAGGUGUGAAAGCCCCGGGCUUAACCUGGGAAUUGCAUUUCAUACUGGGUCGCUAGAGUACUUUAGGGAGGGGGAGAAUUCCACGUGUAGCGGUGAAAUGCGUAGAGAUGUGGAGGAAUACCGAAGGCGAAGGCAGCCCCUUGGGAAUGUACUGACGCUCAUGUGCGAAAGCGUGGGGAGCAAACAGGAUUAGAUACCCUGGUAGUCCACGCUGUAAACGAUGUCGAUUUGGGGGUUGAACUAUAAGUUUGGCGCCCGUAGCUAACGUGAUAAAUCGACCGCCUGGGGAGUACGGCCGCAAGGUUAAAACUCAAAUGAAUUGACGGGGGCCCGCACAAGCGGUGGAGCAUGUGGUUUAAUUCGACGCAACGCGAAGAACCUUACCAGGUCUUGACAUUGAUGGACAGAACUAGAGAUAG
Molecule: ribosomal RNA, 507 nt
Filed under: uncultured bacterium
Lineage: Bacteria
Description: bacterial SSU rRNA
Rfam family: Bacterial small subunit ribosomal RNA
Source: RNAcentral